Molecule: long non-coding RNA, 2814 nt
Filed under: Homo sapiens (human)
Lineage: Eukaryota; Metazoa; Chordata; Mammalia; Primates; Hominidae
Description: HSALNT0161494
Source: RNAcentral
AUAAGAAGGUGGCAAUGAUUCAACCAUGGGUCAUUUGGCAACUCUCAUUAGCAGGUGACAGGGCUGUGGUGAAGGGCAAAGGAGAAUCAUUCCAAUUAUGUCCCAUAGCUUUUACUUGUUCCUCCAAUUCCAUGCCUUUCUCAAUUUUGCUUUUUUUUUUUUUUUUCAGGGUCUCACUCUGUCACCCAGGCUACAUACAGUGUGGUGGCACAAUGGCAGCUCACUUCAGUCUCAACCUCCUGGGCUCAAGCAAAUCCUCCCAGCUCAGCCUUCUAAGUAGCUAGGAAUAUAGGCACAUGCCAUCAUGUCCGGCUAAUUUUCUUCUUCUCAUUAUUAUUAUUAUUUUGUAGAGACAGGGUCUCAUUAUGUUUCCCAUGCUGGUCUCGAACUCCUGGGCUCAAGCCGUCCCUCCACCUCGGCCUGCCAAAGUGAUGGGGUUACAGGUGUGAGCCAUUGCAACCAACAAUUUUGCUUUUCAGUGUAGUUGUUUGCAUACUUGCCUCCCCAGUAAGAUUUUAAAGGUGUGCAAAGGCAUAAACUAGACACGUAUUCAUCAGUGACCCCUAUAGCACUUAGCAGGAUACUUUGCAGGAAUAUUCUGCAGUAAUUGCUGCUUCAUAAAUGUUGGUUGGAUUAUAUCUUCAAAUAUCUGGUCCUGUGGAUUUAUUCCACAGAUGCUGCAUUAAACAUUUGGCUAUAAGCAUAAACAGACAUGUGGGAUAGGCUUUGUGCUUGGCCUGAAAGAGUUUCACUCUUUUUAAAAAAUUAAAGUUUUAAAAUAUAUUUUGGAGACAGAGUCUCAUUCUGUCACUCAAGUCUGGAGUGCCAUGAUGCUAUCACAGGUCACUGCAGCCUCAAACCCCUGGGCUCAAGUGAUCCUCACACCUCAGCCUCCCGAGUAGCUGGGACUACAGUUGUGAGCCACCAUGCCCUGCUAAUGUUUUCAUUUUUAUAGAGGUCUUGUUAUGUUGCCCAGGAUGGUCUCAAACUCCUGUCCUCAAGCGAUCCCGUGCCACCUCAGCAUCCCAAAAUGUUGGGAUCACAGGUGUGAGCCACAGCACCUGGCAGGAAACUGACUCUUUAUUAAAUCUGUGAGUCCCAUUUUACGCUUAACAGAGUGACUUGAGUGUAUUGCUUGUCAGGAGCCAUAGUCGGAGAGCUGUGCUCCAAACCAGUAUGAUUUUAAAAAACUUCCUGAAGAGAAGAAACAAAGGCACUGAAGUCAGCUUUGAGUUGACUUGUUCUAAUUUUGAACACCUCUUGUUAUCAGUAAAUCCUUCAGUCUCCAAUCUCACAAGGUGCCUUUUAAUCCCCCGUACUCUCUCUUUUCUCAUGGGAGAGAUGGAUUUUGGCCACUUUGCUAUGUUAUGUGGAACCAUUUAUGCUCUUGACUGUGGUAGCAGUAUGACCUCGCAGCUUCGGGUGAGGUUUGAGCCAAAUCAUGCAUUGGUCUGUUUUCCCCAUUAACUGGUGAACUGUAGAGUUAGAGCUAUGGAUGUAGAUUACAUUUUGAAGCUUAGUCAUCAGCAAGAGCCUGAUUAAUUUCUUUAGCUCUGAUAUUAGUCCAAAGCCAGAGGCUUUCAGUUUGGUGAAAAACAUUAACUGCCUCCUUCAUUUGGGCUGAUUGAUUGGUGGCUGAACAGAAGGCAUUUCUUCCAGUCCACAGUGAAUGUGAAUUUUCCUUCAGAUGCUCCCACUGAAAGCAUAAGCUUUGUUUACUCAUGCAAGGAGUGAAAAGAUCAGAUUCCUUUUCUGCUCAACUGUUCCUAACAGCUUUCUCAGAAUCUUAAUUUUUCUCUUCUACUCCCAGCCAGCAAGGAGAGAUGGUGGCAAGACACUGACUUUGAAUUGGAGGAUGGGAUUGAAGACUGCUCCUGCUUCUUCCUUGGUCAAUGCAUUAAUAACCAGCUCAGAAAAUAAUAUGUCAACCAGAUUUUCUCUCUCAGCAGUGAAUAACAUCUCAGAAUACCUUGGAGUUGAAGCAAUUUCAGAUUGGAGAGUUAAGUAACUUUACCCAAGAUUACAUGACCAGGAAAUAGAGAAGGUGGGACUCUAACUGCAGUCUACAUUUUACAGGUGACUAUGGAAUGCCACUAUAUUGUAUUUCCAGGUAGACUGUGAAUGGUUGAAACAUGCUCCUGUUGUCUGCUAACUGCUUAACGCCAGCUUCUGGGGUGCUACUUUCUCAAAAGAUGUAAUUGGCAUCAGGAUGGCCCUUCUCAUCUUAACAUUUGCUUUCAUGUAGAUUCUAGAAUGUUUGCAAAUACUUGUAUCUUAGUCCAUGGGUAGAUGAUUGUUUUAGCAGAAAAGGAUUUAUGUCACUUUAUAGAAGCAUAGGGAUUUAAGAUUGCCCUUGAAGAAUGGGCAGGGCUCAGAACAAUUAAAUGGAGUGAUGAUAGUCAGUUGAACUAUCUACUGCCACGGGCUGUGGUCUAGAUGAACCGAGCCUUUUCAACAUUAUCUUCAAAAGUCAUGAUUUUCUUUUUCUGUGAAAGGAGAAUAUUAUUCAUUUAACUCAUUGCAAUGAAUUUUCUGUGAUUUUUAUGCAUGACCCUGUUCAAUGCUGUGGUUUUGUACAGUGCUAUGGUGGAAUUAGCUAGCUUUUGGUUUUCUAGCAUUUGAAUACUCUCUUACUUGGAGACUGCCGUUUGUUAUGCAGGCCUUUGUGGGAGGGAUGGUGAGAUCCCCAAACGAAACAAAAGGAAGGAACAAAUAUCCUCUCUCCCUGUUCUUUGCUGCUUGAGUAACCUGGACUUGGCCAAUCAGAUGCUCCUGUCCAACACUGUGAGGUCAUCUGUGGAAAUUUCUAGCACU